GAUGAACGCUGGCGGCGUGCCUAAUACAUGCAAGUCGAGCGAACGGACGAGAAGCUUGCUUUUCUGAUGUUAGCGGCGGACGGGUGAGUAACACGUGGAUAACCUACCUAUAAGACUGGGAUAACUUCGGGAAACCGGAGCUAAUACCGGAUAAUAUUUUGAACCGCAUGGUUCAAAAGUGAAAGACGGUCUUGCUGUCACUUAUAGAUGGAUCCGCGCCGCAUUAGCUAGUUGGUAAGGUAACGGCUUACCAAGGCAACGAUGCAUAGCCGACCUGAGAGGGUGAUCGGCCACACUGGAACUGAGACACGGUCCAGACUCCUACGGGAGGCAGCAGUAGGGAAUCUUCCGCAAUGGGCGAAAGCCUGACGGAGCAACGCCGCGUGAGUGAUGAAGGUCUUCGGAUCGUAAAACUCUGUUAUUAGGAAAGAACAUAUGUGUAAGUAACUGUGCACAUCUUGACGGUACCUAAUCAGAAAGCCACGGCUAACUACGUG
This 497-nucleotide ribosomal RNA is filed under the name uncultured bacterium. RNAcentral describes it as "partial 16S ribosomal RNA". It matches the Rfam family "Bacterial small subunit ribosomal RNA", at positions 28 to 507 of the family's 1533-position model. The record is from RNAcentral.